CGUGCUUGCACUGAAUGAGAUUUUAACACGAAGUGAGUGGCGGACGGGUGAGUAACACGUGGGUAACCUGCCCAGAAGCAGGGGAUAACACCUGGAAACAGAUGCUAAUACCGUAUAACAGAGAAAACCGCCUGGUUUUCUUUUAAAAGAUGGCUCUGCUAUCACUUCUGGAUGGACCCGCGGCGCAUUAGCUAGUUGGUGAGGUAACGGCUCACCAAGGCGAUGAUGCGUAGCCGACCUGAGAGGGUAAUCGGCCACAUUGGGACUGAGACACGGCCCAGACUCCUACGGGAGGCAGCAGUAGGGAAUCUUCCACAAUGGACGCAAGUCUGAUGGAGCAACGCCGCGUGAGUGAAGAAGGGUUUCGGCUCGUAAAGCUCUGUUGUUAAAGAAGAACGUGGGUGAGAGUAACUGUUCACCCAGUGACGGUAUUUAACCAGAAAGCCACGGCUAACUACGUGCCAGCAGCCGCGGUAAUACGUAGGUGGCAAGCGUUAUCCGGAUUUAUUGGGCGUAAAGCGAGCGCAGGCGGUCUUUUAAGUCUAAUGUGAAAGCCUUCGGCUCAACCGAAGAAGUGCAUUGGAAACUGGGAGACUUGAGUGCAGAAGAGGACAGUGGAACUCCAUGUGUAGCGGUGAAAUGCGUAGAUAUAUGGAAGAACACCAGUGGCGAAGGCGGCUGUCUGGUCUGUAACUGACGCUGAGGCUCGAAAGCAUGGGUAGCGAACAGGAUUAGAUACCCUGGUAGUCCAUGCCGUAAACGAUGAUUACUAAGUGUUGGAGGGUUUCCGCCCUUCAGUGCUGCAGCUAACGCAUUAAGUAAUCCGCCUGGGGAGUACGACCGCAAGGUUGAAACUCAAAAGAAUUGACGGGGGCCCGCACAAGCGGUGGAGCAUGUGGUUUAAUUCGAAGCUACGCGAAGAACCUUACCAGGUCUUGACAUCUUCUGCCAACCUAAGAGAUUAGGCGUUCCCUUCGGGGACAGAAUGACAGGUGGUGCAUGGUUGUCGUCAGCUCGUGUCGUGAGAUGUUGGGUUAAGUCCCGCAACGAGCGCAACCCUUAUUACUAGUUGCCAGCAUUCAGUUGGGCACUCUAGUGAGACUGCCGGUGACAAACCGGAGGAAGGUGGGGACGACGUCAAAUCAUCAUGCCCCUUAUGACCUGGGCUACACACGUGCUACAAUGGAUGGUACAACGAGUCGCGAAACCGCGAGGUUUAGCUAAUCUCUUAAAACCAUUCUCAGUUCGGACUGUAGGCUGCAACUCGCCUACACGAAGUCGGAAUCGCUAGUAAUCGCGGAUCAGCAUGCCGCGGUGAAUACGUUCCCGGGCCUUGUACACACCGCCCGUCACACCAUGAGAGUUUGUAACACCCAAAGCCGGUGGGGUAA
Molecule: ribosomal RNA, 1391 nt
Filed under: Pediococcus acidilactici
Lineage: Bacteria; Bacillati; Bacillota; Bacilli; Lactobacillales; Lactobacillaceae
Description: bacterial SSU rRNA
Rfam family: Bacterial small subunit ribosomal RNA
Source: RNAcentral